This 497-nucleotide ribosomal RNA is filed under the name uncultured bacterium. RNAcentral describes it as "partial 16S ribosomal RNA". It matches the Rfam family "Bacterial small subunit ribosomal RNA", at positions 28 to 507 of the family's 1533-position model. The record is from RNAcentral.
GAUGAACGCUGGCGGCGUGCCUAAUACAUGCAAGUCGAGCGAACAGACGAGGAGCUUGCUCCUCUGACGUUAGCGGCGGACGGGUGAGUAACACGUGGAUAACCUACCUAUAAGACUGGGAUAACUUCGGGAAACCGGAGCUAAUACCGGAUAAUAUAUUGAACCGCAUGGUUCAAUAGUGAAAGACGGUUUUGCUGUCACUUAUAGAUGGAUCCGCGCCGCAUUAGCUAUUUGGUAAGGUAACGGCUUACCAAGGCGACGAUGCGUAGCCGACCUGAGAGGGUGAUCGGCCACACUGGAACUGAGACACGGUCCAGACUCCUACGGGAGGCAGAAGUAGGGAAUCUUCCGCAAUGGGCGAAAGCCUGACGGAGCAACGCCGCGUGAGUGAUGAAGGUCUUCGGAUCGUAAAACUCUGUUAUUAGGGAAGAACAAAUGUGUAAGUAACUAUGCACGUCUUGACGGUACCUAAUCAGAAAGCCACGGCUAACUACGUG